AUAAAUAAAAAAAUAAUAAAUUUUUUAAAAUAUAUAUAAAACAAUAAAACGAACAUGAACAUAAAUAAAUAUAAAAAUUUGCAAAUAUUUUUUAUAUAUUCCUGUUUUAUAUUUGCAAAUCUGAUUAAAAACAUUCAGGCGGAUGAAACAAAUAUUGUGCUUCUGUUCGAAAAUGAUAAUAACGACAUGGAAAAAAUCUUUCAAAUAGCCAUUGCCAAAGCAAAUGAAGAGAAUUCUGAGUUAAAUUUCAAUGGAAUUACUGUUGCUAUUGAACCGAAUAAUGCAUUUGAGACCUCUAGAAAAUUAUGUAAAACAUUAAGGGAAAAUCAAGUAAUUGCUGUAUUUGGUCCGACUACCAGCAUGGCUGCCAAGCACGCUAUGAGUGUUUGUGAUGCCAAAGAGUUGCCCUUCAUUGAUACACGUUGGGAUUUUGGUGCACAAUUACCAACCAUUAAUCUACACCCGCAUCCCACACAGUUAGCGGCGAUCUUAAAAGAUUUAGUUACAACUUUAGGUUGGGAUGGUUGCUUCACAAUAAUUUAUGAAUCAGGCGAAUAUCUUUCCAUGGUUACUGAACUGUUGCAAAUGUAUGGCACUUCGGGUCCCACCAUUGUGGUGCGUCGCUAUGAGCUAGAUUUGAAUGGCAAUUACCGUAAUGUUUUGCGUCGUAUUAAAAAUUCUGGUGAUACAUCGUUUGUGGUUGUUGGCUCAUUGGCCACUUUGCCAGAACUUUUUAAGCAGGCCCAACAAGUUGGCCUAAUGACGGGCUCUUAUCGUUAUAUUAUUGGUAAUUUGGAUUUACAAACUAUGGACUUGGAGCCGUAUCAACAUGGUGAUACUAACAUUACGGGUAUACGUCUGGUUUCGCCAAAGGAAGAUAAUGUUAUAGAAGUUGCUAAAAUCUUAUACGAAUCGGAGGAACCAUUUCAAAACAUAUCAUGUCCUUUGACCGUCAACAUGGCUCUUGUUUACGAUGGCGUACAACUUUUGGCUGAGACAUUUAAACAUGUCAUGUUUCAGGCAGUUCCUUUAAAUUGUAACGAUGCCAGCUCUUGGGAUAAAGGAUACACUCUAGUCAAUUAUAUGAAGUCGUUAAAUAUGGCUGGUCUUACGGGUGAUAUAAAGUUUGAUUAUCAAGGUUUAAGAACAGAAUUUUCACUUGAAAUUGUUGAAUUGGCAGUAUCGGGUUUGCAAACAAUUGGCACUUGGAAAAGCGAUGAAGGUAUAACGAUUGAUCGUCCAGCUCCAGCAGUAUCUAUGGAACAGGAUCAUCGUUCAUUGGUCAAUAAAAGUUUUGUGGUGAUAACAGCUAUUAGUGAACCCUAUGGCAUGCUGAAAGAUGUACCCAAUAAAUUAGAAGGCAACGAUCAAUAUGAGGGAUUUGGCAUAGAACUUAUUGAAGAAUUGGGUAAAAAAUUGGGUUUUUCAUACACAUUUCGUUUACAAGAGGAUGGUAAAUAUGGCAAUUUAGAUUCGAAAACCAACUCCUGGAAUGGUAUGAUUUUGGAAAUCAUGGAAGGGCGUGCUGAUUUGGGUAUAACCGAUUUGACCAUGACAUCUGAUCGAGAAAGUGCGGUAGAUUUUACCAUUCCUUUCAUGAAUCUCGGUAUUGCCAUUUUAUUUCGCAAACCCAUGAAGGAACCACCCAAACUCUUCUCCUUUAUGUCACCAUUUUCCGGAGAAGUAUGGCUAUGGUUGGGUCUAGCAUAUGUUGCCGUCUCCUUGAGUAUGUUUAUAUUGGGCCGCAUAUCACCACCCGAAUGGGAUAAUCCGUAUCCUUGCAUAGAAGAGCCUACCGAACUUGAGAACCAAUUUACAUUUAUUAAUUGCUUUUGGUAUGCUGUUGGUACACUUUUGCAACAAGGUUCGGAAUUAGCACCAAAAGGAUUUUCAACACGUGCUGCUGCCUCAUUUUGGUCGUUCUUUACAUUGAUUCUGGUGUCUUCGUAUACAGCCAACUUGGCUGCAUUUUUAACGGUCGAAUCAUUAAGCACACCUAUUGAGAAUGUUGAGGAUUUGGCUGCUAACAAAGGUGGUGUUAACUAUGGUGCUAAAAUUGGUGGCAGUACAUUUACAUUUUUCAAGGAUGCAAAAUUUCCAACUUAUCAAAAAAUGUACGAGUUUAUGUCAAGUCAUCCGGAGUAUAUGACAUCUUCAAAUGCUGACGGUGUUACACGCGUCGAAGAGGAAAACUAUGCCUUUUUAAUGGAAUCCACAACUAUUGAAUAUAUCACAGAACGACGAUGCAGUCUAACACAAGUUGGUUCAUUAUUGGAUGAAAAAGGAUAUGGUAUUGCUAUGCGUAAAAAUUGGCCUUAUCGUGACAUACUCAGUCAAGCUGUAUUGGAAUUGCAGGAACAAGGUGUUUUAACAAAAAUGAAAACAAAAUGGUGGCAGGAAAAACGAGGUGGUGGCGCUUGUGCGAAAUUUGUUAAACGUGCUUUAUACUAUAAAUAAACAAUUUUAAUUUUAAUAUUUCUUCAAAAUCACACACAUUUCAACUCUACACAAGUUUUGAAGGUUGUUGUUUUAAAUAAAGGCGAGAAAUACAUUUUUGGAAUUUGAAAUUUUAUACCUUGAAUAAAAGGAGCCAAACAAAAUCCAGCACAAUAUUGGUGAAGAUGUUGAUGUUGUUGCUUGGUUACUUUGGUUGAUACUGUUGACACUUUACAACUUUUGUGGGUUCAUUGAUGGAACAAAUACACAGGUUAAGCAAUCUAAAAUUAUAAAUGUUAUAGGAAAUCUGGAUUAAGGAGACUAUUUCUUUCAUUCUACAUACAUCUACAUCUUAAUCUACAUUCAUUCAUUCAUCCAUCAUCAAUCUGCAAUCAUCUACAUCAUUUUCUUGCUGGGCUGUAUCAUUCAUUAAACUUCACUUUAUUUAUAUUCUAAUUAUAUGCACACAUACAUAUUGUACAUAUUUUUAUUUAUUUUACUAAUACCAAUACAUUGUAAAAAUAGUAUUAGAUUACUAACUAAAUUGUGACAUAUUCCUGUUUAAUUCAAAAAGCUUGUAUUUUUAAUUAAAUUAAAAUAAUAUUUAUUUAAUUUGUUAAAAAAAAUAUUUAUAAUUAUUUACAAAUUCUCAUAUUUUUUUAUUUGUUUAUCUGUAUAUUAACCUAAAAUACACUCUUUUUUUCAACAAUCAAUAAAGAAAUUCUUUUUAAUUAAUUACACUAAGUAGACUGUUUCAUUAACAAAAAAAUGCAUUUUUUUAUUCUCACUUAUUUGUGUUGUUUCUGUAUACGCAGCACAACAUACGCACAAAUAAACAAACUAACAUGCGUACAAACAUACAUACAUGUAGUCAUAUCAAUGUCUCAUAUCAAUCAACUACAUACACACACCUACCCUUUCUUUAUCUACUACGUCAUCAAAAAUUUUGUUUGCAAUUUUGUCCAACUUCGAUUUUGUUGAAAAUUGAAAUCUUAAUACCAGGCGCAUAGAAUUUGCAGCAAGCUGCGUAUGCAAUUUUUUUAUAAAUCAUAAAUACUUGACUCACCCUGUGUAAUUAUCAGUUUUGCCGCAUUUGAAUGCAUACUUUGGGGAUGUAAUAAAAUCAAUAUUUAUUUUAAGCCUAAAAGUAUGUGCUACUUUACCUGCAUAUUAAAUAUGACGGUUUAUUUACAUGUGUUUUCAUUGUUUUCAUUUCAUAUAAUAAUACUUUCUAAGAAUUCUGAACACCUGAUAAUAAGAUUUCAGUUUUUCGUUCAAAUCGAGGUUGGUCAAAUUUGCAAACAAAAUUUUUGAUGACGUCACACCUCAUAGUGGAUGCAUGUGUAUGUUUUGCAUAAAAUGCUAGUUAUAACAAAUUAUAAUUUGUGAGUGCUUUUUUUAUGAUAUUGUGCGUAUGUACUUAUGUAUGUUUGCUAUCUAAACAAGUUAAACGUAAAACAGUUUGUUGGUUUAAUGAAAAGGUUUUUUAAUUUAUUUUUUAUUUGCACUAGGGAUUCUUAUAAAAAUACAAAAAAUUAUUAAUUAAUACUUCUAAUUAAUUAUUUAUAAUUUAAAAGAAAUAAAAUAAAUACAAACUAAACAUUAUAAUUUAACAACACAAAUACAUAUUUAAAAAUGAUUAUUAUUUCAGAUGUUUUGUUUAUCCUUAUGAGCUUAUUGAUUUAUAAAAUUAUAUUCAUACAAAUGUUAUAAGUUUAAUUAAAUCAAUAUAAAUAAAUAAUUAUUUAUUUAUGCAUUUAGAAUAAUUUUGGUAC
RNA transcript from Lucilia cuprina (Australian sheep blowfly), 4211 nucleotides. It is a transcript of the gene named glutamate receptor ionotropic, kainate 2, with no coding region annotated. The transcript is spliced from 17 exons. The record is from RefSeq and is a predicted model, not a curated record. NCBI's taxonomy places the organism in Eukaryota, Metazoa, Arthropoda, Insecta, Diptera, Calliphoridae.